GUCCUUGUAGCGUAAUGGGUAGCACGUUGGACUGGUAAUCCAAAGGGCGUGGGCUCGAAUCCUACCUAGGAUG
This is a non-coding RNA of Trichonephila clavata, 73 nucleotides long. The record is from the annotation of a GenBank genome assembly. Lineage: Eukaryota; Metazoa; Arthropoda; Arachnida; Araneae; Nephilidae.